This 444-nucleotide ribosomal RNA is filed under the name uncultured bacterium. RNAcentral describes it as "bacterial SSU rRNA". It matches the Rfam family "Bacterial small subunit ribosomal RNA", at positions 958 to 1398 of the family's 1533-position model. The record is from RNAcentral.
AACGCGAAGAACCUUACCUGGCCUUGACAUGCAUUUCUAAGUUGGUGAAAGCCAGCGAGUGUAGCAAUACACAACUUGCACAGGUGCUGCAUGGUUGUCGUCAGCUCGUGUCGUGAGAUGUUGGGUUAAGUCCCGCAACGAGCGCAACCCCUAUCCAAUGUUGCUAAUCCCGCAAGGGAUGCACUCUUUGGAAACUGCCUUCGAUAAGAAGGAGGAAGGUGGGGACGACGUCAAAUCCUCAUGGCCCUUAUGUCCGGGGCUACACACGUGUUACAAUGGCCGGUACAAUGGGAAGCAAUGCCGCAAGGUGGAGCCAAACCCACAAAGCCGGCCCCAGUUCAGAUUGUGGGCUGCAACUCGCCCACAUGAAGGCGGAAUCGCUAGUAAUCGCUGAUCAGCAGGCAGCGGUGAAUACGUUCCCGGGCCUUGUACACACCGCUAGUC